RNAcentral lists this long non-coding RNA (466 nucleotides) under Equus caballus (horse). RNAcentral describes it as "lncRNA (ENSECAG00000048515.1)". Lineage: Eukaryota; Metazoa; Chordata; Mammalia; Perissodactyla; Equidae. The record is from RNAcentral.
UACGUCAUCUGUCAGACAUCUCCCUUGAUGAGGCUCCUGGCAGUCAUUGCCAAGUUAAUUGUACAAAAGCGGGGUGGUUGUUCCGUGAGUCCUGGGAAUCAACACUUGAGACUGAGGCUAAGAAGAAAGGACACAGCUGGUCUGGUUCCUCCCUGGCAUAGCUCCCAGAAUGUAGAUACUGUGAAGACAGGAUUUUUGCAGUUGUUUUCUACAAUAUCCCUAGGAUCUGAAAUAGUGAUUGGCACACGAUACAGGAUUUACUCUAAACUCCAGCACUGGACAAUUACUAACCCUGGGUAAUACUCCAAAACAAGCAGGACUAAUGAAUGCAUCUGGCAGAGAAACCACCAGCUCCGUCAGCCACUUUAUCCUCAUGGGCUUUCCCUCGAGCCCAGAAAUGCAGCUCCUCUGCUUCGGGCUCUUCUCCGUAGCCUAUACCCUGUCCAUAAUGGGGAAUGCAAUCAUU